UACGAAGGGGGCUAGCGUUGCUCGGAAUCACUGGGCGUAAAGGGUGCGUAGGCGGGUCUUUAAGUCAGAGGUGAAAUCCUGGAGCUCAACUCCAGAACUACCUUUGAUACUGAAGAUCUUGAGUUCGGGAGAGGUGAGUGGAACUGCGAGUGUAGAGGUGAAAUUCGUAGAUAUUCGCAAGAACACCAGUGGCGAAGGCGGCUCACUGGCCCGAUACUGACGCUGAGGCACGAAAGCGUGGGGAGCAAACAGG
This 253-nucleotide ribosomal RNA is filed under the name uncultured bacterium. RNAcentral describes it as "partial 16S ribosomal RNA". It matches the Rfam family "Bacterial small subunit ribosomal RNA", at positions 524 to 776 of the family's 1533-position model. The record is from RNAcentral.